GACAGAGGUGCCAAGCGUUAGGCGGAAUCACUGGGCUUAAAGCGUGUGUAGGCGGAUUCCUAAGUACCUUGUGAAAUCCCACGGCUCAACCGUGGAAGUGCACUCGAAACUGGAUGGCUAGAGUCCUGGAGAGGAAGGUGGAAUGCUUGGUGUAGAGGUGAAAUUCGUAGAUAUCAAGCGGAACACCGGGUGGCGAAGGCGGCCUUCUGGACAGUGAC
RNAcentral lists this ribosomal RNA (218 nucleotides) under uncultured bacterium. RNAcentral's name for it is "partial 16S ribosomal RNA". It matches the Rfam family "Bacterial small subunit ribosomal RNA", at positions 524 to 740 of the family's 1533-position model. The record is from RNAcentral.